GCGAGUCUCAAAAACUCCCAACCCUUUGUUCACGAGCCAGACAGUUGCUUCGGCGGGGAGCGCCCCCCGGGAGGCCCGCCCGGCACGAUACUCUUGUUAUUUUAUUGGCAUCUCUGAGCACAUCUCUUAAUGAGUCA
This 137-nucleotide unclassified non-coding RNA is filed under the name uncultured Ascomycota. Its description in RNAcentral is "sequence contains ITS1". The record is from RNAcentral. Lineage: Eukaryota; Fungi; Ascomycota.